AGCUAUCAGGGAGAGUUCAGCCAGGGUAAAUUUAAUGGUGUAGGUGUUUUUUUAAGAUGUGAUGGAAUGAAGUUUGAAGGCGAAUACAGGGAUGGAAAAGUCAACGGAAAUGGUCUUCUGACGUUUGCUGAUGGUACCCAUGGUCUCCCACGAAAUGAAGGACUGUUUCAAGGGACCCGGUUUAUUGAAAGGAAGAAAUGUCCAGAAAUUGUUCAAAGAGCACAACGUGCUGCAACAAUAGCCAAAGCACAGCAUUUGUAGGGAUGUAUCAAUCUGCAAUAUCAAUAUACAAACUACAAAAAUCACAGGGAAAAGAUUUUUUUUUAAGAUUGACGUUUUCGGAGUUCUUUCAAACAUUCCAUUCUGCUGUGUGAGGGCGCUGCAUAUACAAUAUUCUAGUGUAAAGAACUGUUUGAAUUUGGUGUAGUCAAAAAUCAAUAUGGGAGCUAUUUUGAUGUAUGUGAAUUAACUGAAUCGCAAUUUCAUUUUUUAUAAAAUUGUUCAUUUGACAAAAUUUACAUGAAAUUUUUUUAAAUAAAUGUGUAACGUGCCAGCGUUAUUAUACCAGUAACAGGUAAAGUAUACUCACAAUAAAGAUUACACUACUGUGAUGCCAGACAGUGAUGAUUUGACUUUCUGAAAUAAUCUCAAACUGAUUUGACAGUUAAAUAUAAUAAAAAAUAACCAAAUAAACAAGAAAAUAAAAAUGUUUAUUUAUUGUGAAUUAUUUAUCGACAAAUUAUUCAAGUAUGAACAUUCAGUAUGAAAUGAUACAGGUGCGUUCUGAUCAACCAGAAAUAUAAUGACCCCCGCCAUAUGCACUAGAUUAUGGUAGAAAUUGAAUAAACUUUCUUAUUUUACAAAGAACUCGGAAAUCUUCAAGCAUGGGAGCAUGAACUUUGGUGACCUCAGUCGCCAUUUUGAAAUUAAUUUCUGUAAUAUAUUUUAUAUUUGUACAUGGAAGAUAGUAUGAAAUAUGUGAAAAAUAUGCAAAUUAUAUGCAAAUUAUUCACCUAUCAAGCAUUACAGUUCUUAUGAAUAUAUAAACAUGUGCCUUUAUGUGUCAUUAUUAAGGAAAUUAUUCAUGUCAGUGCCUAUGUACAUCAACAGAUGUUUUUAAUCAAUGAGGCAUUGUAUUCCGGUCUAGACAACUGUGUGUUGAUAGAUGAUUUAUACACUGACUUUCCAUUAACCUAGUAGGUACCAUUGUAAUUUUCUGCAAAAUAAAUUAAUGUUUUUCAGCU
Molecule: long non-coding RNA, 1244 nt
Organism: Saccoglossus kowalevskii
Lineage: Eukaryota; Metazoa; Hemichordata; Enteropneusta; Harrimaniidae
Source: RefSeq, a predicted model, not a curated record